RNAcentral lists this ribosomal RNA (783 nucleotides) under Phylloscopus fuscatus robustus. Its description in RNAcentral is "partial 12S ribosomal RNA". It matches the Rfam family "Bacterial small subunit ribosomal RNA", at positions 312 to 1419 of the family's 1533-position model. Lineage: Eukaryota; Metazoa; Chordata; Aves; Passeriformes; Phylloscopidae. The record is from RNAcentral.
GGUAUCAGGCACACCCAUGUUGUAGACCCAAAACGCCUUGCAAUUGCCACGCCCCCACGGGUUCUCAGCAGUAGUUAACAUUAAGCAAUGAGUGCAAACUUGACUUAGCCAUAGCAAAUCCAGGGUCGGUAAAUCCUGUGCCAGCCACCGCGGUCAUACAGGAGACCCAAGUCAACGUUAUAACGGCGUAAAGCGUGGUACUAUGUUAUCUAAAGUAGCUAAGAUUAAAAAGCAACUGAGCUGUCAUAAGCCCAAGAUGCCCAUAAGGCCUCCACCAAAGAAGAUCUUAGACCAAUGAUCCAUUGAAACCCACGAAAGCCAGGACCCAAACUGGGAUUAGAUACCCCACUAUGCCUGGCCCUAAAUCUUGAUGCUCGAUCUUACCGGAGCAUCCGCCCGAGAACUACGAGCACAAACGCUUAAAACUCUAAGGACUUGGCGGUGUUCCAAACCCACCUAGAGGAGCCUGUUCUGUAAUCGAUGAUCCACGAUAUACCUGACCAUUCCUUGCCCGAACAGCCUAUAUACCGCCGUCGCCAGCCCACCCAGCAUGAAGGCCCAACAGUGGACGCAAUAGCCCUACCGCGCUAAUACGACAGGUCAAGGUAUAGCCUAUGGAAUGGAAGCAAUGGGCUACAUUUUCUAAGCUAGAACAUAACGGCAAAGGGAUAUGAAACUGUCCCUGGAAGGCGGAUUUAGCAGUAAAGUGGGACAAUCGAGCCCUCUUUAAGCCGGCCCUGGAGCACGUACAUACCGCCCGUCACCCUCCUCAAAAGCGCCCCC